RNAcentral lists this unclassified non-coding RNA (200 nucleotides) under Helvella sp. RNAcentral's name for it is "partial internal transcribed spacer 2". The record is from RNAcentral. Lineage: Eukaryota; Fungi; Ascomycota; Pezizomycetes; Pezizales; Helvellaceae.
UUAAGUUCAGCGGGUAUCCCUACCUGAUUCGAGGAGUUCCGAUGUCUCGCUCUCCCCGCCCGACACAGGGGCCGGGGGCUGGCUGCCCCGCCGCGCUCGAGCGCCAAUGCGUCAUAUCACGCUCGGGCACGCAGCAGGCAGUCCGCCCAUGGAUUCCAGCGAGGUGGCCGCCCGCUCGGGGCACGCCGCCGCCGCCAUCA